UGGGGAAUAUUGCACAAUGGGCGCAAGCCUGAUGCAGCCAUGCCGCGUGUUGUGAAGAAGGCCUUCGGGUUGUAAAGCACUUUCAGCGAGGAGGAAGGUGGUGAACUUAAUGCGUUCAUCAAUUGACGUUACUCGCAGAAGAAGCACCGGCUAACUCCGUGCCAGCAGCCGCGGUAAUACGGAGGGUGCAAGCGUUAAUCGGAAUUACUGGGCGUAAAGCGCACGCAGGCGGUUUGUUAAGUCAGAUGUGAAAUCCCCGGGCUCAACCUGGGAACUGCAUUUGAAACUGGCAAGCUAGAGUCUCGUAGAGGGGGUAGAAUUCCAGGUGUAGCGGUGAAAUGCGUAGAGAUCUGGAGGAAUGCAG
Molecule: ribosomal RNA, 364 nt
Filed under: uncultured bacterium
Lineage: Bacteria
Description: partial 16S ribosomal RNA
Rfam family: Bacterial small subunit ribosomal RNA
Source: RNAcentral